AAAGAAUUAGUUAAAAUAACAUAAAUAUGUCAAAUUUAAAUUAUUAGUAAUACUAAUAUUCUUUU
RNAcentral lists this transfer RNA (65 nucleotides) under Uenoa lobata. Its description in RNAcentral is "tRNA-Asp". Lineage: Eukaryota; Metazoa; Arthropoda; Insecta; Trichoptera; Uenoidae. The record is from RNAcentral.